RNAcentral lists this ribosomal RNA (483 nucleotides) under uncultured bacterium. RNAcentral's name for it is "partial 16S ribosomal RNA". It matches the Rfam family "Bacterial small subunit ribosomal RNA", at positions 30 to 507 of the family's 1533-position model. The record is from RNAcentral.
AUUGAACGCUCGCGGAUGCUUUACACAUGCAAGUCGAACGGCAGCGCGGACUUUGGUCUGGCGGCGAGUGGCGAACGGGUGAGUAAUGUAACGGAACGUGCCCAGUAGCGGGGGGUAAAUAAGCGAAAGCGUAGCUAAUACCGCAUACGCCCUAAGGGGGAAAGCAAGGGAUCGUAAGAACUUGCACUAUUGGGGCGGCCGAUAUCGGAUUAGCUAGUUGGUGAGGUAACGGCUCACCAAGGCGACGAUCCGUAGCUGGUUUGAGAGGACGACCAGCCACACUGGGACUGAGACACGGCCCAGACUCCUACGGGAGGCAGCAGUGGGGAAUUUUGGACAAUGGGGGCAACCCUGAUCCAGCCAUCCCGCGUGUGCGAUGAAGGCCUUCGGGUUGUAAAGCACUUUUGGCAGGAAAGAAACGUCGCGGGCUAAUACCCCGUGGAACUGACGGUACCUGCAGAAUAAGCACCGGCUAACUACGUG